UACGGAGGUCUCAAGCGUUGUUCGGAAUCACUGGGCGUAAAGGGUGCGUAGGCUGCACGGUAAGUCAGAGGUGAAAUCCCGGAGCUCAACUCCGGAAUGGCCUCCGAUACUGCCGUGCUCGAGGACUGAAGAGGAGUCUGGAAUUCACAGUGGAGCAGUGAAAUGCGUAGAUAUUGUGAGGAACACUAGUGGCGAAGGCGAGACUCUGGACAGUUCCCGACGCUGAGACACGAAAGCCAGGGGAGCAAACGGG
RNAcentral lists this ribosomal RNA (253 nucleotides) under uncultured bacterium. RNAcentral's name for it is "partial 16S ribosomal RNA". It matches the Rfam family "Bacterial small subunit ribosomal RNA", at positions 524 to 776 of the family's 1533-position model. The record is from RNAcentral.